GAUUUCCAUCUGAGAACUUCGUUGCAGGAAACACACUCUGGCAAGCUCUUUCCCCUCCACUUUCCCCACAAACCCAGGAACAGCACAAAGAGAAAAGAGAAAGCAGAUUUGCCUUUCCAGCCAGGGCCCAGGAAGAAAGCAAUGCUGCCUCCAAGCUCCUCCUAAUCUCUUUAGAAGGGGACUUGCUACACCCCCUCACACUGCCAGAAGUGGUGGGGCUCUCAAUCCACACCGCAGCAUACCAAAACGCUAACUGUUUGCAGAAAACAAGCUGAGUGUGGUUAGAAAAGGGCAGAGGAAAAUGCCCAGGGGCAAACGGGAAACGGUGAGCCAACCGUGAGCAAAGCGCGACCCAGCGGAAAGGCUUUGCAGCGGAAGGCUCCAGCGCCUUGCGAAAAGUCUCUCAUCUUCUUGGCCUGGUGGCCAAAGAAUGAUGUUAUCCUGAAACCUCUGCCCCCGAUGCCAUGGAGACCACAGGAUCCUGGGAUGACCAUCUAGAUUUCUACUUGGCUGACAGACAUCAUCUAGGGAUUACCUGUGGACUGCAAACUGCUGAGCUCUAGACUUGGUGAAAGCUGAUGUGAACCACUGCAGCCGAUAUAAUUGUUCCAUUUCUUCACCUGGAUCAGCUAAUCAGAUGCUUCUGAUAAAUGCCCUAUUACCCAGCCUUUAAUGAGCCCUUCAGCCUUCCUGGGACCUAACAAUGGUGCCCUAGUUUCAGUUGGAAGUAGUUACAAAAGAGAGUACAUCACCCCUUGCUCCGUAACAAGCUGAAAUGCUAAGUCAAAAGGAAACUCCCUGGAUAAGGGACAAAGUGGCUACUUAUAAUACCAAUUGACAUACCAGGAAUGUGGGCACAGAUUUGUCAACUUGGUAGAUUCAUGAACUGAAAUAGUUCUACAAUAUGAUAGGACAUGUGGCCUGCUUCAUGCAGAACAAAGAGGCAUCAUAUGGCUUUAAGAGAAAAUUGUUAUUUCUGUACAAACCAUUCAGGCUUAUAAUCUGGCUGUACUCAAAAAAAUAUUAUGAAAAGGGGACCUGAGAUAAAAUAAAUUACUGGUGCCCCAUCCAUUUCCAGGCUCCUCCUAGACAGUAACUCUGAUGUCAGUCAUUAUACAACCUUUAGCCCUCUGCUUCUGCUAUUUACUGUUGGCUCUUACAUCAUUGAUACAAUAAUUAAAUAAUUCCUCUCUGGUACCAUUAAGCUGAUGGUUAUAGAUCCCAUAUAAACAAGUACCCAUCACAGAGUCAAGGAUUUGACCCAGGAUAUAACUCAAGGGGUGAGGGUGGGGGGAAUGAAAGACCUUGUUAACCUGUAAGCCCAACCCUCCCAAGGACCAAGUAACUUCCUAGAAUGCUGGGAGUUGUAGUUCUUGGAAAAUAACAAGGCCUCAUGGGAAGAAAAUGGUGGCAGUAUGGGUUUGUUUUUAUGAGUCCUUGUAAAACAUGUCUCAAGGCCACUCAGCUGGGAAUUCCAGGGAGUGGUCCCAACCAAAGUGCAUCUUGGUCAGAAUCAAAUUAAAGAUUGCUUCAAAUUUGGCUCAAAUGGAACUGGUUUUUCUCUGGCAAAUCCCAGGAUUAACAACUAACUUGGUAUAUACCUCUAUACUAGCAUAAGUCACAAAGCAUGUGUAUAGUAAAAUGCUAGCAAUAAAAAGUAGAAGGGUAAAUCAGCCUCAAUGAAAAUUCUGUCCAUUUUCUUUAUACUCUUUGUCCAAAAGGUGUAUAGUAAAAGUUCAUUGUGGGUUUGGUUUGCACUUGUCAUAUGAUUUACAAUGUUGACUAUAUCUAAUAUGUUGGGCACAUGUAUGCUAUGUUUGUAAAAAUGUUUACCCAAGUUCUUUGUCCAUUAUCUAAUAGUUAUCUGAACUUUUGUUGUUCUAU
Molecule: long non-coding RNA, 1884 nt
Organism: Peromyscus californicus insignis
Lineage: Eukaryota; Metazoa; Chordata; Mammalia; Rodentia; Cricetidae
Exons: 3
Source: RefSeq, a predicted model, not a curated record